Non-coding RNA from Paramuricea clavata, 579 nucleotides. The record is from the annotation of a GenBank genome assembly. Lineage: Eukaryota; Metazoa; Cnidaria; Anthozoa; Malacalcyonacea; Plexauridae.
AUGGGUGAAGCCAAUGUUUACAUGAGUGAGGACCAUUUAUUCAAAAAUCUUCAAAACGUCAAAAAAUAAGCGGCAUGCAGGCUAGCGUGUUUACAUUGAAGAUUAUAUUUCGAUUCCAGCGAACUCAUGAAAUUUGAUACCAAAAAACGUUGGCGUAUGAUAUAUGAUCCCUCAAGUCUUUUUCAAACACGAACAAACCUCACACUCAGUGUUUAUCUUUGCAGUAUAAAGCGAGUACAAGCCACAACGUAUUUUACAAUGAAGUUCUAUAAUGUUUCACAACUUACAGUCAUUGUACUUUUCAUCUUGCUGAAUUUUGUUUCAUUUUCUGCAGGUAUGUCUCUGAUGUUUUAAUGCUUUAAUGUUCCUUUCCCAGUAAAAGCGGGAUUUAUUCCCACAAGUCGGAUAUUAUAUCCUAAAAGUUGUAAAAUAUCCCUUUUUGCUUAGCCUAUAUAGACGACUUGCAGUACAAUCUUUUUUGUUUUAAUCCUCUGUGAUAAUUCUUUGUUUAAUAUCGCAAGUCAUUCACUAUUUUAUAUUGCGUUAUUUAUCGGUUUGUUUCAUUCGUUGCUAUGGGAC